Molecule: long non-coding RNA, 3871 nt
Organism: Felis catus (domestic cat)
Lineage: Eukaryota; Metazoa; Chordata; Mammalia; Carnivora; Felidae
Exons: 2
Source: RefSeq, a predicted model, not a curated record
GAACCGGGCACGGAGGGGAGGCGCACGCUGGCACAGCCACCAGGGACUAGGGUGUCCCCUCCACCCCAGCUCUGAACGGCUUUGCGUUCCUACCUGCUUAUCCUGGAAUCCAGAUUCCUCCUUAAUCUGCUUGCGGGACGGCCCCCGUGGAAAUGAGCGCUACUCCUCACUAACCAACCUGAACACCUGCGUGCAUGUUCCGGGGCGACCGGGAGACCGAGCUCCCACGUACCGGGUGUUCGCGGACAAGCAGCACCAGGCGGUGUAUGAGUCACCAACACCGAGUCCGUGUGCACCAGAAGGGAGUGUGCUCGAAACCGAAACCGUCACCCAGGACCUGCUUCGCGAACCACAUCCCCGCCCAACACAGGAUGAAGAGACCCCGCUGUGAUCCGUCCCUGGGGCCUUGAACGCUUGUGCUUCCUGGAGCUGCGAAAACCACACACCGUAUGCGGGACGAGGUGGGACCCAGGGAGCGGGUGUACUUACUUUUCUCGCUGGGGAAGGAGUGAGGUCGACCUGCAUGGACUCCACCCUGUUAAAUGACAAGGGGACAGGGGCCAGGGGCUCGUCAGCGAUGCAACACCACCAACCGAGACUCGCGCCACGGGACCUACGCUCACCUACAGGCCCCGUGCUGUCGGCCCGCCUGCCUCGCUGGCCAGCGCCCACGCCCACGGAAGCCUUGUGGCCUGGGCCCCGGCCCGCCCACUCCACAGCCCCCUCCCGGCCCUCGUCCUCACUCCUCUAAUCGGGCCUGAGCUCCUGCAAGGCGGCGACAGGAGUAAACAUCCUUUUUCCUUUCCUUAACGCUUACUGCCCGACCCACACGCUUCACACAAUGAACACUCAACAAGUGUUCGUUCCGACUGAGCCCGAGUCUGACAGGGACGCACCACUCGGGCAGCCUCGUAGGAGAAAGAGCAGAAGAGAGAGAACAAGAAAGGGAGGGAAAGUGAGCUACUGAGCUCCCGCAGGGCGGGCCUGCCGGACAAAGCCAAGGUGAGGGGCGCGGCUCCCCUCAGCCAGGGUGGGUCAGGGUCCGGGGGAGCCACCCGCCCAGCUGCGGUCUCUCGUCCUAGUUUUGUCUGUGCUGGAUUAGUCUCCGAGCCGCCUCCCCUGGCCUGGCCAUCCCGGUCACAGGUCAGUCCCAGGGUUGACACCCGUUGGCGCGGUGUGGUCGCAGGAUGCCCCGCAACGAAUCGCUAGGACUGUGGGGACAGAGUUGUGACCGGCCAGCCAGGACCACACACCUGAUUGUGAGGCUGCGUCCCGCGGGGCAGGCAGGAGCCAGAGGGAGGGGCGAGGUGCCACGUCCUGCACUCGACUCAGGGUCCCUGCCUGUCCACUGCUGACUGGCGGGGUUGGGGUGGCGGUGAGGAGAUGUGCAGGGUGGAGGGAGGAGGGGAGGACCGGAGGCGCGUCAGAGGACGGGCUGUGCGACCUGCCGGAGCCGGCCAGUGACGGUCAGGGACACUGGGGCCGCCCCGCUGCACACGCACCUGUUGGAGGCUGACGAGUCAGGGGGCCGGAGGUGUCCACCUGGCCGUGCCGAAGGAGCUGCAGCAGGGGUCUAAGCGUCAGGCCGCGUUCGCCGGCCUGGCUGCCUCUUCACAUCCCUCCCAGCUCAGGCCCCGUCUCACUUACUCGAAACUGGAGUUUUUAUUGUGCUGAAAGCUGUCUGCUGUGACAAUCUCACACUACACAGAUAGAGAGGGGGUGCUAAUCAGCCGCAAACGUUUACUUUAACGUAACCCAUCCCGGUUACAAUCGUAAGCCGACAAACACAGCCAGAUGCCCCACAGGUGCCCCGGCCCCCAACCCUCGCCAGCUUCCCCCCCCCCAACACACAGCCCUGAGGAGCCCCCCGAGGACACCCAAGUGGCCUGUGGCUUGCUCUAUUGGCUGCGCCCGGUGCUGCGAACAAGCAGGUGCUUGACUACGGGUUGGGGGCAGGCAGCCAUCCGCCUCUGCGGUGUGGGGACCUGGAACCUCCAAGGCCCUCGCUCCUGCCCGCGGCCUCCGUGAAACCAGUGUGCUCUGUGCCGCCCCCCCGCCCCAGGACAUGAAGGUAACAGAGAGCCACCAGUACCAGCGCCCCCCCCCCCGCCCCCCGCCCCGCGGGUGAGUGUGCACCAUGCUGCCCCACCUGGGCUCCUCCUGCUCUGGCGGGGUCGGGGGGACUGGCAGAUGACGUCUGGGAGGGGCGCCCUCCCCGGGGAACGUGUGCGGAGCCAGCCCGCGGGACGGGACGAACCCCCCUGGCCCCGGCCGGGCAGAACAGGCAGAUCUGGACUCCGAGGAGAAACACCACCUGGGACGCGCCUAAACAGAAGGUGGCGACAAAGAUAAGCUGACACCACGGUGGUAAAGAUGACCAGGAACGUUCUAGAAACGGAAAGCUGAACAGCCAAAACGGACCCGAGAUGGAAAAAGUGUGCCGCAGGCAGCUGAGCAGAGCACUGGGACUGGGGGCCCAGGAAGGCACAGGGAGGCUGCAGGGACAGAAGCUACCCGGGAGCAGCUCUGGGCACAGGCCUGCCAGGCUCAGAACAACGGGGCACGAGGCCGCGGGAAAAGAGCAGGAUGUGGAAAGGUGGCGGCUGUGAGUGGCCAGAGCUCACGGAAGACACGAUUCCCCAGCAAGAAAGCAAACUACUCACCCAGAGGGAUGGAUCGGAGACCCCGCGCAGGCGCCUGGCACUCUCCGCCGUGCCGCUCCCCUCCCGUCCCCUCCCCUCCCCGAACUGAGCAGGGCCGCGCACCCUCACGUCCCUCAGGCUCUCCGAGUCUGCUGCUGUGAUCUCUUGGGAAUGAGGCAGGACCCCUGAGCACACGCUCACACUGGUGUCGGCUUGGGGGCCCCUUCACCCCGGACGGGGCCCCAAGGUGACGGAGAGACUUCCAGAGGCCCAACGCGACAGGGCAGCAAGUGCCCACUUACAGCGCGUGGGUCAUCCCUGCACACAUGACCAGCCGGAUGGACGCCAGUCCCCAGGGCCGCUGGCUCUGCCACCUUUACCCUGACGUUCGGCCUACCAAGCUGGGAAGAGCCACCACAUUAGCACAGCUCACGAGACCUCGCCCCGUCUCAGAACAGCAGGCACCGUGGACAGCGGGAGCCCCCCGCGGCCACUGCCCCAGGGCACGCCACGGCCUCCGCACGUGGGGCACACGCGCUGCGCGUGUUCACCUGUCACGGACCCCAUGGUUCCUGGCAGAUGCGCACGGGGCCCCGGCAGAGCCUGGCCGUGGGGCGCCUCUGCCUCAGGGAUCUCGGGGAGCCCCUGGGGGGUUUUCACAUUUUCCCUUCUGUCUCCCUUGGCCUCCCUUCACCUCCUACUGGACUGCUGCUCUGACAGAAGCUUGUAGUAAAGGCAAGUGCUCUUUCUCCGGCCCCCUUCGUUACAACAAGGUCUCAGACAGAUGGCCAAGGGCACAGCACGGUCGGCUGCCCUGUUCGCACUCUAGAGAGAACUCACCCCUGCAGCUGUUCCAACCGCAGCACUGACUUCCGAAGGGACUCUUCCAGCUUUGAGAUCUAAACACAACCAGAGUUCUGGUCACCAGGCGGUGUAGGCCAACCUACAGUGUUGAGAGCACGUGCUGACCCUCUGAACGUCUUAAACCACAAAUCAGAAUGUGGGAGGCAUGGGAGCUGUCCUCUUGCUGCUUGAGUGAAUGUGCACUGAGAGCAAGCCACCAGAGGCCCUGGGGACCAGCACUGGGACGCCAGCACGAGGCAGCCUCACCCAGGUGCUCCCGGACCCUCUGUCUACACUCGAGAAGGCACUGCUCUGAGUCAGAAGCUCGAUUAACGCUGCUCUCACUAAAGCUUUGCUUUCCUUUCAUUAAAGGCGAGUACUUACAA